GUAGCGGUGCCCUGUACCUGCAAUCCGCUAUAGCAGGACGGAAUCCCCGCUUUGAGGCCCACCCUUGUGAGGUCUGGCUCCGGUAAGUGGUGUUGACGGCUGGGUCCCACGCAACGUGUAGACGCCGAAUCCCGUCAGGUCCGGGAGGAAGCAGCGGUAAGCGUUGAAGCGUGUGCCGUGGGGUAGCCUGACCCGAGUUAACUGCCGGAGUAACGCUCGGAAGGUGUGUGGUCGACGGUGGGUGCACGA
RNAcentral lists this signal recognition particle RNA (249 nucleotides) under Candidatus Poribacteria bacterium. Its description in RNAcentral is "partial signal recognition particle sRNA large type". It matches the Rfam family "Bacterial large signal recognition particle RNA". From Rfam's summary of the family: The signal recognition particle (SRP) is a universally conserved ribonucleoprotein involved in the co-translational targeting of proteins to membranes. Archaeal SRP consists of a 7S RNA and homologues of the eukaryotic SRP19 and SRP54 proteins. Lineage: Bacteria; Candidatus Poribacteria. The record is from RNAcentral.